Long non-coding RNA from Gorilla gorilla gorilla (western lowland gorilla), 3871 nucleotides. RefSeq lists it as uncharacterized. Lineage: Eukaryota; Metazoa; Chordata; Mammalia; Primates; Hominidae. The record is from RefSeq and is a predicted model, not a curated record. The transcript has 5 exons.
AUUAGAAUGACAAGCAAAAUCAAAUUUUCUAAUCCACAUUUUAAAUUGGAAUCAAAUUAAUCUGUUAUAUACUCUAGGAUGUCAAAUUAUACUUUAACAUGCCAAAGUCUUAUAAGUUAUGAGUGAUUAAAAUGUCGAAUAAGCUCAGGUUAUUUCCAAACUUAACACAAAAAUAUUAACACUAUGAGUUAUAAUUUGCUUCAUCAUGUUCAGAAUUAAGUCUAGAAUUUCCUGUGGUUAAACUACUCACUCAUGCACCAAUUUAUUCAUACAACCUUCAGAGCCUGCCAUAUGCCAGGCACCAUCUGAGACGCUAGAUCUAAAACAGCAGGGAAAAAAAGACCAGUAUCCCCAACCUCAUGAAACUUAAAUGCAAGGGGAAUGCAAAGCAGAAAGACCAACAAAGAACUACAAAUUAAAUCAUGUGGUAUGUCAGAUGGAGAUUACCAUGAACAAAAGAACACUGGAUAGGGAGUUCCUGAGUUAUUACGGUGGCACUUUUACUUAGCACAGUCAGGAAAGAGCUCCUGUAAAUGGUGACAAUUGAGGAAACACCUGGAGGAGGUAAAGAAGUCAGCCCAUGGAUAUCUGGGUCAGAAGCACUCCAGGCAGAGGGAUGAGCAAACACAGACGCCCUGAGAAAGGAAUGCAGCUGGCAUGGUGGAGGAGUAGCCCAAAGGCCAAUGUGAGUGUGGCCCAAGCAGGGAGAAUGAAGAGACAACAGAACUGCCUGAUACCCACAAGGGACUAAUGACUGAGUAGUGAAUGAAGGGAAGAAUGAAUAAGUAAUCAACAGAUAGGAUCUGCCUCAACUGCUUUACUUGUACUCACUCCAUCAUCACAGCAAUACCAUAAGCAACAUGUAUCAGUUUUCUGACAGAGACUUUGACCAGGGGAGAAGAAAUAACCUGUCCAGCAUGAUAUAGCUGAUAGUCAAAACCUGCAAGAUGUUUUCAAGAAUCAGAAAAUAGAGAGAUUAAGAAGAUAGACUUGUUGUCCAUAAGGAUCACACUCCAGUGCAGAUAAGAGCAUUUAAGACACUGCUACCUUGAUGCUGAACCAGCAGACAACAUGUUUUCACAAGGGCUUCUCAUUAAAUGUCAUUCCAGGAGCAUGGUCUCAAGUAAGGGCUAGCAUGAUGUCCUAGACAUUCUAAAAAUCCUCCCAAAAACAGUGUGAGGUAGGUAUAAUUAUCUCCACUUAGAGAGCUGAAACCCAAGAAGCUGAGUGAUAAACUGACUUGUCACGUGGAGGCAGAUCUGAAUGCCUGAAGGCUGAUGUCAAAGAUUCUUACCUUCCACUUUUCUUCUACUUCAGAGGACUACAGCCUUGUCUGGAGAAGCUGCGUGGAGACAUGCAUGAAUGCAGGUCUCUCAAACGAGGGUCCACAUAGUAUGUCAGCGCAGGAGAAGGAAAGAAGGAAAUCACCUUCUCAUCAGGAAGGGUGAUUGCUCUUGAGCAAACACAAGUGAAACCCACUUAAAGUUGAUUCAGCUAAGCUGACAUAAUAUUCAAAGUGAUCCAGGAGGAUGUUAUAAUCAACAGUGUCAAAAGUAGCAUUAAGAUCAAGCAAAAUUAAAAUACUCAAACUGUCAGAUGCCAACUGCAUUAAUAAAUCAUUAAAAAGAAAAUCUCAGGCAAAUGCUGCUCUGCUGUGAAGUGAUAAAAAGCUGGAUUCAAAUUGCUCAGGGAGAUUAUGUCUCUUCCUUAAAUAGAUCUUGUUAUGGCUGGCUGUGAAUGUUCUGGUCCAAAGAGGUACAUUCAGUACCUGAUCCAAUGGCUACACAUAGCACAGUAGUUUAUUUCUCAAGAUUUAAUUGUACUCUUGAAAGAGAAAGAAGGGAAAUUCAUUCACUGAACAACCGUUUAUUAGUUUUUGACUCAGAUGAGCACGAUGACAGGUGCUGUGUGUACAGAAAUUGCUAAGAUACCACCCCUGGCUUCAAGAUACUUAUGGACAAGGAGACUCAAUGUUUUCCUUAAACUUAUUAAAUAAUAUAAUACUUAAUGUCAAAAGAGUAGAGAUAUUUGAGAAAAGCCGGAAGGAUUAGGUAUUGCCUCUGUCCUUAAGAGUCUUGCACUCCCUUUGAGAAACAAAAGGAAGUGACAGCUGCCAAUUUCUUAAAAUAUGCUUCGUGGGAUUUUAUUCAAUGAAAUAACCAUAGCAUUUAUCAUCCAAACUUGACUUUUACAAAAGAUAAGGACUAUUAUUAAUGAUUAUAUUAGGACAACAGAUGUAAACUAGCACACAAUAAAUCAACAUGCAUGAUGACCCGUGAAUCUCAGAACUCAAUAUGAGAGACUAUCACUUCCUAAGAAUCUGGGAUGGGUUUAUUUGGACUUGACAAGUAGUGCAAGUCCUACAUCCCAUACUCAAAUUAUCCAGGUCAUCUUUGUAAGUGCAAGACCAAUCAUGGUUGUCACUUAUCAUUUGGAAAACCAUGGAGUAGAUAUGGUGUACCAACAGAGGAAACAAAUUUACCCAUACGGAUAAUAAUUCACACAAUGUCCAAAUUAUUUCAAUCUUACAUGAAGUUUCUCAUCUUAAAACACCGUGUUUCUUACUUGAUGUGGUCACUGUUGUGGUUUUUUUUUUUUUUUUUUGUGAGACAGAGUCUUGCUCUUGUUCAAGCUGGAGUGCAGUGGCAAUCUCAACUCACUGCAACCUCUGCCUCCUGAGUUCAAGCAAUUCUCCUGCCUCAGCCUACUGAGUAGCUGGGAUUACAGGCAUCCGCCACCAUGCCUGGCUAAUUUUUGUAGUUUUAGUAGAGACGGGGUUUCACCAUGUUGGCGAGGCUGGUCUCGAACUCCUGACCUCAAGUGAUCCUCCGGCCUGGGCCUCCCAAAGUGCUGGGGUUACAGACCUGAGCCGCUGCGCCCGGCCUGUUGUGACUUUAAUGUUGCUCUAAAAUCCUUUGACAAUAAGUACUUGAGGAGCUUCAUAUUUUCCUGGACUAGAUUUAUAGAAUGAGAUUUCACCUUAAGACUAAACCUGAUGAGGCUAAUGAAAUGGGAGUUUUCAGGUUCCUGGUAGAAAGGAAGUUUAUUUUGCAUUUGGGAGGAAUCAUCUGAUCCCAGAGGGAUGACUAGCUAUUUUAAAAUGUGGCCUCAAAAUUCCUUGACAAUCUUCCCUAACCACAUGGGUUAUGGUUCUCCUCCCCUUGAAUCUGGGCUCUGUGACUGAUUUACCAACGGAAUACGGUAGAACCAAUAUCGUUCUAUUUUUUAAGCCCAGGCUUCUAGGAAUGCUCAGUCUAAGAAUCCAGCCUCCAUAUUGUGAGGAAUCCCAAACUAGCCUAUAUGAUAGAUAACAUGGAGAGGCCAAAAAUAGGGGUUCCAGCCAACAGCGCAGUGGACCGCUGUGCUGACAACCAGAAUCAACUGCCAAACAUGUGAGCGAGAAUAGCUUCAGAUAACUCAAGCCCACAGCUUUUGAGCUUUCUCAUAUUAAAUUCCAGAUAUCAUGGGGCAGAUAUAAGCCAUACUUGCUGUACCUUCUCUGAACUUGUGGCCCAUAGAAAGUAUGAGGCAUAAUACAAUUGUUGUUUAUAUCAAUACAUUUUGAGGUAGUGGGUUGUACAUAAAUAGAUAACCAAAAUACUAAUGUUAACCUAUUUUAAAAGUCACUUAUCUACCAGACAAAAAGGAAUUUCUCAUUUGGUUCUCAACCUGUAAAAAGGCUUUUGAUCACUUUUUUUAGCUUUGAAUCGGGUUCCAACUCUUUGUGUGAUGGAACAGCUCUGACCCUAAAGAUACAAACUGUUGAACCCAUAUCACUUUAUUUACCCCAUUAGCCAAUCAUGAAAAUUGCUUAUAUAGUAAAUAAUCAGUAAAUCUGUAUUAAAUAAAUUAAUAAAUGAUCAUGAGAUCU